UUAGUGGCGAACGGGUGAGUAACACGUGAGUAACCUGCCCUUGACUCUGGGAUAAGCCUGGGAAACCGGGUCUAAUACUGGAUAUGACUGCCGGCCGCAUGGUCUGGUGGUGGAAAGCUUUAUUGCGGUUUUGGAUGGACUCGCGGCCUAUCAGCUUGUUGGCGGGGUAAUGGCCCACCAAGGCGACGACGGGUAGCCGGCCUGAGAGGGUGACCGGCCACACUGGGACUGAGACACGGCCCAGACUCCUACGGGAGGCAGCAGUGGGGAAUAUUGCACAAUGGGCGCAAGCCUGAUGCAGCGACGCCGCGUGAGGGAUGAAGGCCUUCGGGUUGUAAACCUCUUUCAGUAGGGAAGAAGCGAAAGUGACGGUACCUGCAGAAGAAGCGCCGGCUAACUACGUGCCAGCAGCCGCGGUAAUACGUAGGGCGCAAGCGUUAUCCGGAAUUAUUGGGCGUAAAGAGCUCGUAGGCGGUUUGUCGCGUCUGCCGUGAAAGUCCGGGGCUUAACUCCGGAUCUGCGGUGGGUACGGGCAGACUAGAGUGCAGUAGGGGAGACUGGAAUUCCUGGUGUAGCGGUGAAAUGCGCAGAUAUCAGGAGGAACACCGAUGGCGAAGGCAGGUCUCUGGGCUGUAACUGAC
This 641-nucleotide ribosomal RNA is filed under the name Micrococcus sp. I12A-02604. Its description in RNAcentral is "bacterial SSU rRNA". It matches the Rfam family "Bacterial small subunit ribosomal RNA", at positions 92 to 744 of the family's 1533-position model. Lineage: Bacteria; Bacillati; Actinomycetota; Actinomycetes; Micrococcales; Micrococcaceae. The record is from RNAcentral.